This 50-nucleotide transfer RNA is filed under the name Hypnella pallescens. Its description in RNAcentral is "partial tRNA-Leu". Lineage: Eukaryota; Viridiplantae; Streptophyta; Bryopsida; Hookeriales; Callicostaceae. The record is from RNAcentral.
AAAAUCCGUUGGCUUUAUUGACCAUGAGGGUUCAAGUCCCUCUAUCCCCA